Non-coding RNA from Caenorhabditis elegans, 21 nucleotides. Lineage: Eukaryota; Metazoa; Nematoda; Chromadorea; Rhabditida; Rhabditidae. The record is from Ensembl.
UUUCCAAUAAUUUUUGUUCGA